GGCGGCAUGGCCGAGUGUAAGGCGGGGGACUGCAAAUCCUUUU
Molecule: transfer RNA, 43 nt
Filed under: Galium pilosum
Lineage: Eukaryota; Viridiplantae; Streptophyta; Magnoliopsida; Gentianales; Rubiaceae
Description: partial tRNA-Cys
Source: RNAcentral